RNAcentral lists this ribosomal RNA (254 nucleotides) under uncultured bacterium. RNAcentral's name for it is "partial 16S ribosomal RNA". It matches the Rfam family "Bacterial small subunit ribosomal RNA", at positions 524 to 776 of the family's 1533-position model. The record is from RNAcentral.
UACGUAGGUGACAAGCGUUGUCCGGAUUUACUGGGCGUAAAGAGCGCGCAGGCGGUCGGUCAAGUCGAGUGUGAAAGCCCCCGGCUCAACUGGGGAGGGUCAUUCGAUACUGAUCGACUCGAAGGCAGGAGAGGGUAGUGGAAUUCCCGGUGUAGUGGUGAAAUGCGUAGAUAUCUGGAGGAACACCGGUGGCGAAGGCGGCAUCCUGGACCAACACUGACGCUGAGUGAGCGAAAGCCAGGGGAGCAAACGGG